CUAUAGCUAAUUAAGGCAACCAUAUUCUUUUCCCUGUAGGGCCCAGUGUGCAAUGCCUGGGGCAGUGCAAACAGUAGUUUCUUAGGCAAUUAUGCAGACUAUUGCUUGUAUGAAUUGCCCAAAGAGACCUGGGAAAUAGUC
Molecule: small nucleolar RNA, 141 nt
Organism: Sorex araneus (European shrew)
Lineage: Eukaryota; Metazoa; Chordata; Mammalia; Eulipotyphla; Soricidae
Product: small nucleolar RNA SNORA70
Exons: 1
Source: RefSeq, a predicted model, not a curated record